CGUAACACGUAUGUAACCUACCUUGUUCAGGGGGAUAGCCUCUCGAAAGAGAGAUUAAGACCGCAUAACAUUGGAUUGCAGCAUUGCAGCCCAAUCAAAUAUUUAUAGGAACAAGAUGGGCAUGCGGGACAUUAGCUAGUUGGCGGGGUAACGGCCCACCAAGGCGACGAUGUCUAGGGGAUCUGAGAGGAUGACCCCCCACACUGGUACUGAGACACGGACCAG
This 225-nucleotide ribosomal RNA is filed under the name uncultured bacterium. RNAcentral's name for it is "partial 16S ribosomal RNA". It matches the Rfam family "Bacterial small subunit ribosomal RNA", at positions 109 to 334 of the family's 1533-position model. The record is from RNAcentral.